GAUGAAGAACGCAGUGAAAUGCGAUAAGUAAUGUGAAUUGCAGAAUUCAGUGAAUCAUCGAAUCUUUGAACGCACCUUGCGCCCUUUGGCUAUUCUGAAGGGCAUGCCUGUUUGAGUAUCAUGAACACCUCAACUCUCAUGGUUCGCCAUGAUGAGCUUGGACUUUGGGGGUCUUGCUGGCCUACGGUCGGCUCCUCUCAAAUGAAUCAGCUUGCCAGUGUUUGGUAGAGUCGCAGGUGUGAUAACUAUCUACGCUUGUGGUUUUCUGCCAGAUAACCUUCAGUGAUGGAGGUUCGCUGGAGCUUAUAAAUGUCGCUCCCCAGUGAGGACAGCUUUUUGAACGUUUGAUCUCAAAUCAGGUAGGACUACCCGCUGAACUUAAGCAUAUCAAUAAGCGGAGGA
Molecule: unclassified non-coding RNA, 402 nt
Filed under: soil metagenome
Description: partial contains 5.8S ribosomal RNA, internal transcribed spacer 2, and large subunit ribosomal RNA
Rfam family: 5.8S ribosomal RNA (bases 1-121)
Source: RNAcentral